UAGGAUAUGAUGCUGGAGGAUUCCGGUCC
This 29-nucleotide non-coding RNA is filed under the name Mus musculus (house mouse). The record is from RNAcentral. Lineage: Eukaryota; Metazoa; Chordata; Mammalia; Rodentia; Muridae.